CCUACGGGAGGCAGCAGUGAGGAAUAUUGGUCAAUGGGCGGAAGCCUGAACCAGCCAAGUAGCGUGCAGGAUGACGGCCCUACGGGUUGUAAACUGCUUUUAUACGGGAAUAACGCGCCUUACGUGUAGGGCUUUGCAUGUACCGUAUGAAUAAGGACCGGCUAAUUCCGUGCCAGCAGCCGCGGUAAUACGGAGGGUCCGGGCGUUAUCCGGAUUUAUUGGGGUUAAAGGGAGCGUAGGCGGCAUGGCAAGCGUGCUGUGAAAUGUCCGGGCUCAACCCGGGCCUUGCAGCGGGUACUGGCUUGCUUGAGUCCGCGUAAGGCAGGUGGAAUUCGUGGUGUAGCGGUGAAAUGCUUAGAUAUGACGAAGAACCCCGAUUGCGAAGGCAGCUUGCUGCAGCGGAACUGACGCUGAUGCUCGAAAGCGCGGGUAUCGAACAGGAUUAGAUACCCUUGUAGUC
RNAcentral lists this ribosomal RNA (460 nucleotides) under uncultured bacterium. Its description in RNAcentral is "partial 16S ribosomal RNA". It matches the Rfam family "Bacterial small subunit ribosomal RNA", at positions 338 to 795 of the family's 1533-position model. The record is from RNAcentral.